Molecule: ribosomal RNA, 301 nt
Filed under: uncultured bacterium
Lineage: Bacteria
Description: partial 16S ribosomal RNA
Rfam family: Bacterial small subunit ribosomal RNA
Source: RNAcentral
CAGUCGCCGCGGGAAUACGUAGGGUGCGAGCGUUAAUCGGAAUUACUGGGCGUAAAGCGUGCGCAGGCGGUUCGUUAAGACAGAUGUGAAAUCCCCGGGCUUAACCUGGGAACUGCAUUUGAAACUGGCAGGCUAGAGUCUUGUAGAGGGGGGUAGAAUUCCAGGUGUAGCGGUGAAAUGCGUAGAGAUCUGGAGGAAUACCGGUGGCGAAGGCGGCCCCCUGGACAAAGACUGACGCUCAGGUGCGAAAGCGUGGGGAGCGAACAGGAUUAGAUACCCCAGUAGUCCCUGUCUCUUAUAC